Molecule: ribosomal RNA, 484 nt
Filed under: uncultured bacterium
Lineage: Bacteria
Description: partial 16S ribosomal RNA
Rfam family: Bacterial small subunit ribosomal RNA
Source: RNAcentral
AUUGGACGCUGGCGGCAUGCUUUACACAUGCAAGUCGAACGGCAGCGCGGGCUUCGGCCUGGCGGCGAGUGGCGAACGGGUGAGUAAUACAUCGGAACGUGCCCAGUAGUUGGGGAUAGCUCGGCGAAAGCCGGAUUAAUACCGCAUCCGACCUGAGGGUGAAAGCGGGGGAUCUUCGGACCUCGCGCUAUUGGAGCGGCCGAUGGCAGAUUAGCUAGUUGGUGGGGUAAAGGCCUACCAAGGCGACGAUCUGUAGCUGAUCUGAGAGGACGACCAGCCACACUGGGACUGAGACACGGCCCAGACUCCUACGGGAGGCAGCAGUGGGGAAUUUUGGACAAUGGGCGAAAGCCUGAUCCAGCAAUGCCGCGUGUGUGAUGAAGGCCUUCGGGUUGUAAAGCACUUUUGGCGGGAACGAAAAGGACUGUGCCAAUACCACGGUUCGAUGACGGUACCCGCAGAAUAAGCACCGGCUAACUACGUG